GGCACGAUGGGAUAUGAGGCCUGUCUGCCCGCACCGCGCGCAGCCAUAACGUGGGAGCAGGAGGAGGCGAGACGCGGGGUGGGGGGGGAAGGACUCUCUUUCCCAUGAUACUCCGCGCGCGCAGCCAUGGCGGGCGGGAGACUACAUCUCCCGUGAUCCCCCGCGCGAUGGGCAGCAUGGAGCCAAACGUGGCUGCGCUGGAGAGGCGGGUCCGCGGUUGCCUGUGCGACUUCGGCUUCGAGGUUUCUCCCCUCAAGGUUGGGUGGUACAAUGCUGUUCUUCAGCCGUCCUUUCACCUCCAAUACUCCGAGGACACCCUGGCAUUCAUUGUCCUCAGCACCCCCUCAAUGUUUGACAGAGCCUUUAAACCCUUUGUAGACAAACAGCUGCUGAAAAAAAUCAAUGACCCAGUGGAUCAAUGCGUUUCUUAUCAUCUGUCGCUCGUGAAGGAGAGUCUCCCUAACCAGAGGGUGGACAUCAUCUAUGAUUAUGAGAUCCUGCCAAACCGGAAGCCCAAGUUUCUGGCCCAGACAGCUGCCCAUGUGGCUGGAGCAGCAUAUUACUACCAGAGGAAGGAUGUGAGGUGUGAUCCCUGGGGAGAAAAGAAGAUCUAUGGCGUUUGUAUCCAUCCCCGGUAUGGAGGCUGGUUUGCUAUCCGAGGUCUCCUCAUAUUCCCAGAUGUUCAGGUGCCAUUCCUGGAGCAGGUUGCCCCUGUUGAUUGUGUGGCCUCGGAGGAGAAGCGAAUAGAGCUGCUGGAGAAAUUCAAUUUCCACUGGCGGGACUGGAGCUAUAGGGACAUCAUUGAAGUGAAGGAACGGUACUCGGAGGAGCAGAAAGCCUACUUUGGAGCUCCUCCAGCAGAGAGAUUCAAACUGCUAGAGGUGCAGGGAGUUGUCCAGAGAAGUGCGUACUGCUGAGUAACAUGGUUCCGAGUGUGGGGCAGGGAAUGAACAGAGUGCCCUCAUUCUCCAUAGCGGUUAUGAAGGAGUGGCAGAUCCCACAUGAAUCAGUACUGGGUUUACAAUGGCACCAUGGUGCUGGGCCCCCACUCAAAAGGUGCCCCAGCCUGGCACAGCCCGCUCCACUUUUGCUGCGCCUGGAGCACCUGGUUUCUCUCUCCCUCCUCCCCCCACCGCUCGCUCCUCUCGGCCCACUGAGGGGUCCUCUCUGCCCCCGUCACCAGCAGGCUGCUGCCGGCAGAGCCAGGGGCAGAGAGGAGCCCUCAGCUGCUGCCGCUCCAGCUGGGCCAGUGACCAUCCACUUUGGGCUCCCCGGGAGCGGGGCCUGCCUCUCCCUGCCACUCUGCAGAAGCGACCGUCUUGGGAAGUUGGAGGCUGCCUCGCCCCCCGACCCAUGCAAGGAAAUGCCUCCUCAACCACAAGCACCAUCAGUGCAAGCAGGAACGUGGAGGGUGCCCUGCAUGUUGCUGGUAAUUUGUGCUACGGUUCUGCAUUGUCUGGUACCCAGACCCUAAGCUGUCCUUCAGUAGAAGACUUUGCCAUAGGUCAAAAUGAGUUUUGCUCUAAAGAGAGCAGUCAGUUUGCUCACCAGCUGGGUUGCUUGGUUCAAAAAGUCCUCUGUCUUUGCGGCUCAUCCUGCUUGUGUGUUACUCUUCUUCCUGAGACCCUCCCGCCCAGGUCAUGCACAGCUGAUAUUAAUGUGCUCAGCCUAGGUCCUUUCACAGCAGGGCUACAAGCUUCAGUGCCUUUCUGCCCUUCUUCACACAGCCUAGGAGAGUUGGAGCGUUCCAGUUCCCAAUAGCGUCUGCUUCAUAAAUCACUUUCGUUCAGUCACUGUGAGCUCUACCUACACCAGUGCACCUAAUGCCACCCUAUAGCAAACCAAACCCUCGCUCACAUUGGAGGUGAAGGUGUGUCCAUGGCAUAGACGUCAUGAGGAGCCCUACCAAUUUCAGGGCCCAGAUUGAACAGCCCAAGUGGGCAAAGUAUGGGGCUGGCAGACAGGGACUCCCAAGUUCUAACCAUAGCUCUGCCAUCAGCUCUCUUGCACACCUUCAGACAGGUCACUUUACCUGCCUCUGUACCUGACUUCCCCAGCUGUAAAUUUGGGAAAUAUCCCAGGCUCUUCCAAAGGGGAGCGAUAAUCUUUGCCACUAGUUUUUGAAAUGAUACUAACCUUAUUACAAGGUAACAUUUGACACAGUAAUAUACUGUGGCAUAUAGCUUAGCAGUGACCUUAAGUGGAUACUGUUAUGAUCAUUUGCUUUAUGGGCUUUUAUUACAACACUAAUUUCUAUGAAGUUUAUAGGCAAGAUUGGAAUUGCAGAUAACAAGUUCUUAGUCAGUUUUUUGCAUACGUGGUUUAGUCCGAGAUUGCGUAAACUAUCGUUUGCCUUGGACCCUUCAUUACUUUAGCUUUCUACAAGAAAAACAGACAGGUCUGGUGGCUGUAGUUGAUUGUUACAAAGUAAUUAUGAAUAUACUUCCUGGUGAGCUUCAAGAGACACUAGAAGCAACUUGGAAUCAUUCCGCAUAUUUGGAGUUAUUGUUACAUUAAUAUAUUUGCAUAUGUCAGAGCAAUUUGGCUAUGACUAAUCGUUGUGUGGUUGUGGGAUUAUGAGUAUUUAAAUUCUAAAUUUCUGACUUCAAAAUUACUUCUGGUUGAACUGUUACAAAUGGUCCUUCUAUUUGUGGAUUGGGAUACAACUGCCUUGGAAUAUAAUAAUGGCUCAUAUUAAAGGAACCACAUUAGUAUGCAGACACCCUCCCAGAAUAAUAUGGAAAGGAAUUAGAUACAUUUACCACUUGUGAUCAGACUUUGGUUUAUUGUUUGAGUUGUUAUCCGUUUGCCCAUGUUGAACUCUUUGUGUUGAAAUUAAUUCAAUAAAUAGUAAUGCUGUCAUAUGCA
Chrysemys picta bellii (western painted turtle) is the source of this 2868-nucleotide non-coding RNA. NCBI's taxonomy places the organism in Eukaryota, Metazoa, Chordata, Testudines, Emydidae. The record is from RefSeq and is a predicted model, not a curated record.